This is a long non-coding RNA of Heterocephalus glaber (naked mole-rat), 2561 nucleotides long. RefSeq lists it as uncharacterized. The record is from RefSeq and is a predicted model, not a curated record. NCBI's taxonomy places the organism in Eukaryota, Metazoa, Chordata, Mammalia, Rodentia, Bathyergidae.
GGGGGGAGGGGGGAGUUGCAGCUCCUGGCAAAUGCGCCAAAGUGUCCAGCCCCACCCUCGCGACCUCUAACCUCUCCUCGGACGGGAAGACCGGCGCGUUCCACGCAUGCUCAGUACGUCCGCGCAGAUUUCUGAAGCUCGAAUCCCGCGUGCGUUGUGUACGGUGAGCACCAGCUCGGGGGUCGGCGUCCUGUCCAGUCCCUGACUGAGGUCGCUCAGAUGCCGGGGCUGUGCACCCUGCCCAGUGGAACAAAAACAGAAGAAGGAAGCCUGCUGGCACAGGUGCACAUACUCUGUGUCCUUGUGCUUUCUGGCUGCCAUGAGAUGAGCAGCUUUCUUUCACCAUGCUGUUCCACCAUGAUGUCCUACCUCACCUCAUGCCCAGAGUGAUGAAGCCAGCAGGCUAUGACUGAAAGCCCUAAAACUAUGAGCAAAAAUAACCUUUUCAUCGUUUAACCUGUUAUUCUCAGGUAAAAGCUAAAUUCAGACUCGCUUUUUGCUCAGCAACCAAAGGGCCACCAUGCUUUAUGAUUUAUAGCAACCCCAUUAUCCCACAAGUGACACUGCAUUCCGCCUCCAGGGUCUAUGAUAAGAUCAUGGACGCAAGAGUUGCACAGCACCCUGCCUGGGAAUACCAGUCUUGCAGGCUCCCUUCCAGUUGGACCGUCUGGUGUGCCUGGCUUUCCAGAGUGUGCGCCCAGCUCCCGGCUCCAUCCUCUGUGACAGCACCACAGCCCCAUCACUGUGGGCUCGCACAGGCUCCUCAACAGCUAACAGAAGCUCAACCUCAAGAAAAUGGAAUCCCAUAUUCCAACCUGGACAUUUAGUACUGGUAAAGUCUCUUCCCUCAUCAUCUCCUCCGCUAGGACCAAUUUGGGAAGGAUCAUGCACUGUGAUCCUGUCAACACCAUCAGCUGUCAAGGUAGCAGGCCUGGACCCCUGGAUACACCACACUUGACACAAGCCCUGGGAAGCAGAAACUAUUGUGCUGCUAAGAUCAUUCUUCAUCAAGCUUGCUGAUACAUUUGGGCAAGAGUUUCUCUAGAAGGAGGUUGCUGGACUAGAGGAUAGAACCUUGACGGAUCCUCUGCAUCCAAGCCACAAAUGAGGGAAGAGAGACACACGGAGAAACCGAAGGAGAAUAUCACUUCUCUCCACACAUCACUGGUCAAGGCCAGCUACAGGACCCCACCAAGACAGCAGAAGCCAGGAAAAUGUCUGGCUAUAUGAGCAGGUAGAAGACAGCCUAAUACCAAGCACUGGCAGCCUUGGUUAUACAAGUUCCAUACAAGAAGAAGAUGUAUUUUUAACAACAAACAUAUCAAAGCAAACACUGACCCCACCCUUCUACCCUUCUGCCACAUUAUGAUGUACCACAAGGACCCUCAGAAGCCAAGCAAAUGCCAGCACCGGGCCCUGGGACUUCCCCAUCUCCAGAGCCAUGAGACAAAAUGAACUUCUUUCCUAUAGGAUUUGCCCAGUGACUGAAACAGCUACUUUGUCCCUGUCCUCACCAUCUGGUGUCAGUGGGUUUUGCUCCAAUUAGAUUACUUGGGACUCCCAAGUGUCUUCCUUGUUGGGAAGGAACCACUCACUACCACCACCAUUCUCCUUACAGGUGAUAAUUUGAGUUGUUUUCCUUGAAUGGCCCUCCUUCCUCCUUCUAGCCAAUGUGGGGUUGCUUUUGAGUAAAUUGGAUUUUAUAAAAAGUAAAUGGUGUUUAAAGGACUAUUCACUCCUCCCACAUAAUUAAAGGUAUCUUGGGGCUCUUCCCUUUGGGGACCUUCACUUCCAUAGCUUUAUCUCUCAUCUAAACACAAAUGGCUCUUCAAUGUAAAUUCUUGCCCUGGCUUUUCUCCUGAUAAGCCAUUUUUCUUGUUCUCUGAGGCCCAUCCAACUGUAACACCUGCUACACAAGUGAGUAAAUUCAAGCCACAUUGGUCUGUUUGGCCUUUGAACUUAGGCUCAUUUCUAAAACCACCUGUUUACCCAUGCUGCACCCAUCCCUCAUGUUUCUCAGCCUGUAUGCACCCCUACUAGCUUCCACUUCAAGCCCAGUUCCCCAUGGAAUCUUCCCAGCGCCCUCUGAUCUUUUUGUUCUCUACCUAUCUCUAUUUCUGUCACGUGUUACCUUGAAUCAUCUGCGACUCUAUCAUUUAAAUGCCCUGUCUCCCCACCUCAAUUACAUGCAUAGUGCUUGUUUCUUCCAGAAAGUCUCAUGCUAAACAUGUGCUUGUUCUUUUUAUUUUCCCUGACUCCUACUGCAUCCAGAGCGGGAGAUGUUUCAAUUAUCUCGUAAUACACAGCAAGCCAUUAAUAAUCUUGUGGGGUGACUGAGUUUAAUUGGGAACUUCUCCCUUAGGGUCUCUCAUGCAGUUGCAGCCAGAUGUCAAGUGAAGAUUUGUCUGGGCUGAGCACCCCAGGUUGCUCACUCUCGUGACAUGGUGUUGAAGCUGACUGUUGUCUGAGAGCUCAGCUGGGUCUGUCAACAAGAGCACCCAAACAUGUCCUCACCAUGUGGCUUUUUACAGCCUGACAGCUGGGUCCAAUGAGGGAACAUU